UACGAAGGGUGCAAGCGUUAAUCGGAAUUACUGGGCGUAAAGCGCGCGUAGGUGGUUUGUUAAGUUGGAUGUGAAAUCCCCGGGCUCAACCUGGGAACUGCAUUCAAAACUGACAAGCUAGAGUAUGGUAGAGGGUGGUGGAAUUUCCUGUGUAGCGGUGAAAUGCGUAGAUAUCAACAGGAAUACCGGAGGCGAAGGCGAGUAACUGGGCCAACACUGACACUGAGACCCGAAAGCGUGGGGAUCAAACAGGAUUAGAUACCCCAGUAGU
Molecule: ribosomal RNA, 271 nt
Filed under: uncultured bacterium
Lineage: Bacteria
Description: partial 16S ribosomal RNA
Rfam family: Bacterial small subunit ribosomal RNA
Source: RNAcentral